AUUGAACGCUGGCGGCAUGCUUUACACAUGCAAGUCGAACGGUAACAGGCCGCAAGGUGCUGACGAGUGGCGAACGGGUGAGUAAUGCAUCGGAACGUGCCCAGUCGUGGGGGAUAACGCAGCGAAAGCUGCGCUAAUACCGCGUACGAUCUAUGGAUGAAAGCGGGGGACCGUAAGGCCUCGCGCGAUUGGAGCGGCCG
Molecule: ribosomal RNA, 200 nt
Filed under: uncultured bacterium
Lineage: Bacteria
Description: partial 16S ribosomal RNA
Rfam family: Bacterial small subunit ribosomal RNA
Source: RNAcentral